UACGUAGGGCGCAAGCGUUGUCCGGAAUUAUUGGGCGUAAAGAGCUCGUAGGCGGUUUGGCGCGUCUGCUGUGAAAACCUAAGGCUCAACCUUGGGCUUGCAGUGGGUACGGGCAGACUAGAGUGUGGUAGGGGAGACUGGAAUUCCUGGUGUAGCGGUGAAAUGCGUAGAUAUCACUCGGAAGGCCAAAGGCGAAGGCAGGUUACUGGUACGCAACUGACGCUGAGGCACGAAAGCGUGGGGAGCAAACAGG
This 253-nucleotide ribosomal RNA is filed under the name uncultured bacterium. Its description in RNAcentral is "partial 16S ribosomal RNA". It matches the Rfam family "Bacterial small subunit ribosomal RNA", at positions 524 to 776 of the family's 1533-position model. The record is from RNAcentral.